GGAAUUUGUAUCCCCCCCCCGGGACUAGCAUUCAAUAAGCGGAGGAAAAGAAACUAACAAGGAUUCCCCUAGUAACGGCGAGUGAAGCGGGAAGAGCUCAAAUUUGAAAUCUGGCGGUCUCAGGCCGUCCGAGUUGUAGUCUCGAGAAGCGUUUUCCGCGUCGGACCGUGUACAAGUCCCUUGGAACAGGGCGUCAUAGAGGGUGAGAAUCCCGUCUUUGACACGGACUGCCGGUGCUUUGUGAUGCGCUCUCAAAGAGUCGAGUUGUUUGGGAAUGCAGCUCAAAAUGGGUGGUAAAUUCCAUCUAAAGCUAAAUAUGGGCGAAAGACCGAUAGCGAACAAGUACCGUGAGGGAAAGAUGAAAAGCACUUUGGAAAGAGAGUUAAACAGUACGUGAAAUUGUUGAAAGGGAAACGCUUGAAGUCAGUCGCGUCUUCCGGGACUCAGCCUAGCCUUUUGGUUAGGUGUACUUCCUGGGGUGACGGGCCAGCAUCGAUUUUGACCGUUGGAGAAAGGCCUUGGGAACGUGGCACCUUCGGGUGUGUUAUAGCCCUCGGUCGUAUGCAACGGUUGGGAUCGAGGGUCGCAGCGCGCCUUUUUGGCCGGGGUUCGCCCACGUAACGCGCUUAGGAUGCUGGCGUAAUGGCUUUAAGCGACCCGUCUUGAAACACGGACCAAGGAGUCUAACAUGCUCGCGAGUGUUUGGGUGGAAAACCCGGACGCGUAAUGAAAGUGAAAGGUUGGGACCUCUGUCGUGGAGGGCACCGACGCCCGGACCAGACCUUUUGUGACGGUUCCGAGGUAGAGCGCGUAUGUUGGGACCCGAAAGAUGGUGAACUAUGCCUGAGUAGGGUGAAGCCAGAGGAAACUCUGGUGGAGGCUCGUAGCGAUUCUGACGUGCAAAUCGAUCGUCGAACUUGGGUAUAGGGGCGAAAGACUAAUCGAACCAUCUAGUAGCUGGUCCUGCAGACCCCCCCCCGCAGAAGAGAUAAAAAGGGGCUGCUG
This 1005-nucleotide ribosomal RNA is filed under the name Ramaria gracilis. Its description in RNAcentral is "partial large subunit ribosomal RNA". It matches the Rfam family "Eukaryotic large subunit ribosomal RNA", at positions 1 to 984 of the family's 3401-position model. The record is from RNAcentral. RNAcentral also lists the same sequence under 1 other name. Lineage: Eukaryota; Fungi; Basidiomycota; Agaricomycetes; Gomphales; Gomphaceae.